This 420-nucleotide ribosomal RNA is filed under the name uncultured soil bacterium. RNAcentral's name for it is "bacterial SSU rRNA". It matches the Rfam family "Bacterial small subunit ribosomal RNA", at positions 26 to 479 of the family's 1533-position model. The record is from RNAcentral.
AGAACGAACGCUGGCGGCAUGCCUAAUACAUGCAAGUCGAACGAACACUUCGGUGUUAGUGGCGCACGGGUGCGUAACGCGUGGGAAUCUGCCCUUGGGUUCGGAAUAACAGUUGGAAACGACUGCUAAUACCGGAUGAUAUCGAAAGAUCAAAGAUUUAUCGCCCAGGGAUGAGCCCGCGUAGGAUUAGCUAGUUGGUGAGGUAAAGGCUCACCAAGGCGACGAUCCUUAGCUGGUCUGAGAGGAUGAUCAGCCACACUGGGACUGAGACACGGCCCAGACUCCUACGGGAGGCAGCAGUAGGGAAUAGUUGGACAAGUGGGCGCGAAGCCUGAUCCAGCAAUCGCGCGUGAGUGAGUGAACGGUCCGUUAGGGUUAGUAAACGCUUACUUUUACCCGAGUAUGAAUAAUGACAGUAGU